CUUUCUUCUUUCCGCCUUUUCACUUUUUUAAUUUUAAAAAAAUUUUAGAUAAGGCUGGUCAUGAACUUGCUGUGUAGCCUAAGCUGGCCAGUAUUUCUGCUACAGCUUUUGUUUUUGUUUUUUGAGACAGGGUCUUGCUCCGUGGUUCAGGUUGGACUUAAACUAUGUAGUGUUGGCUGGCCUCAAACUCCCAGAAAUCCUCCUGCCUCAGCCUCCCAAGUGCUAGGAUCACAGGCCCUGGUGUGCCACCAUGCCCUGCUUUCUGUUACAGCUUUUACCAUGUGGUAUUUUAACAACCUGUUUGGACAACCGCUCCUUACUAGUGUAAGUUCCUACAAUACAGUAUAGGGAUCAUACUAAACUUUAUAGUCUCAGCACCCCACGGAAUAUCUAGAAUUGGGUACUCAAUAAAUGAUUCAUAAAUGAAUGAAUGUGGUGAUAAUUAAUGCCAUGGUUAUAGAUGCCAGCUGUCAGUAUCCUCUAUGAGGUGCGCUGUUUGUCAGUUGCUAAUCUAGAACAUAAUUCACAGUUAAUCUCGAUUGUCACCUUGACUGGCUUGAGAGAUGCCUGGAUUAGGGAAGCGCACUCCUGCUUUUGUCUGGUGUGGCCUUGGGGACUGCACCGGCCUCUGCCCCUUCCUCUCUGGCUCUUCCUUGCUUGCUCUGCUUCCUGGCUGCCAUGAGGUAAGCAGCUUACUCUGUCCCUGUGCCGUGAUGUUUUCGUCACUGAGCCAGCCCAUCAUGGACUGGAUCUUUGAAACUGUGAGACAAACUGAACUACUCAUUUAAGGUGUGUGAAUUGAGUACUUUGUCCCAGCAACAUAAAGCUGACGAAUGCAGUAACCUAAUUUUAUUUUAUUUUUUUGUGUCCUUCUCUAGACUUCAAAGCAACAUAAGCUGAAAAGGAUCCGGAAACACACAGAGUCAGAAGAAGACCUCAGGAUGGAAUGGAGCAAAGAUAACCAGUCACAUAUUUCAGAACUUCCUGUGGACUGGACCCAGGAAUAUAUACUCUGGUCAAUGGCCAGGAGUCUUCAACAGAUCUUCCAACACCUGGAAAGUGCAAGAUUAAGUCUUAUGGAACUGGAUUUGCCUGAAUUGCAGGAUGUGACUUCCUCCACCACCUCUCUUCUUGAGGCUCAGGAAGCUGCUCCACCCUGCUGUGUCUGUGAGAAGGCAGCAUAUUCCAGCGAUCACAGCAUCUCUUCUGGAUCAUCAAGCAAUAGCUCCAGCCUGUCUUACCCUUCUGCCUUCUUUGAGGGGACAACUGGGCAAUUUCAGAGCAAUAGUUUGCCUGUUUCCCACAGAAAGCAAACAGCUGUGUUCAGGAACCAAGGCACAUCUCUGUCACCUUUUCAGCUGUCAGAGUCUGAGCACCCAGAACAUCUUCAGAAUUUGGAAGCUCUUUCACACUUACCACCACAUAACUCUUUUAUUGACUCCAUGUUUGAACCCCCAAAUGUUUGCAAACAAGAAAAGAAAACAAAAAAUAAGAGAAGGAGAAGGAAUCAUUUGUUAUUAGAUCAUGGGCCAAAUUCUGUUUUGAAUGAAAGACUACAACUCCCAGGGUGGGCUCUGUCCCGGCUCUCUCCUUUGGCUAGAGGGGAGCUAGAAGGACAUAUGUCUUGGAAGGUUUGUACUUUGCAGGAACAAACAGUGCCUGUGCCUGUGAAGAAAUCAUGGGCAAUGCUGAAUUAUUUGAUUGAAGUACCAGGAGGAGCCCAUGAACUAGAGAACCCCCAGACUCAGUUAUCUACACUCACUCAUCAAAGCACUGAGCAAAAUAUCAACAAUAAGUCCCCAGACCUUCCAUCUGGAUUAAAUAGGACAGAAACAAGAAUUUCCCAGUCACUUAUCUCAAGUACACAAGUGACUGAUAUGCAGUGGACCCCAAAGCUUCCUUAUAAAGUCACAGAUAACAUAAAGAUAACUCCAUUGGCGUUGCUUCAGGUCAUGGAUUCAAUGGGCUUGAUUCCAGAAUCACCUUUACAAGUGAUGGAAUCUGCAGAUUUCUUCCCACAGGCACCAAAUCAAGCUGUAAAGCCAGUGGAAGUCAUGGAGGCAAUGCAUGUAACUCCCAAAGCACCAAAUCAAAUAACUGAAUCAGUGGAAGUGACUCCAAAGACUCAGCAACAAGUUGUGGAACCAAAUAGGAUGGCUUCAAGGCUAAAUCAAGUCGUAGAUAAUGUGAAGAUAACUCCUCUAGCAUUGCUUCAAGUCACGGCUUCUAAAAGAAUGAUUAACGAAUCAUAUCCACGUAUCAUAGAACCACUAGGAAUGACCCCAAGGCCACAAUAUCAAGCCACAGAGUCCAUGAAGCAAGCCAUUAGACCAGGAAAGAUGAGUCCAAUGCCACAACACGCAGUCAUGGAAACUGUGGAAAAGGCCCCAAGGCCAAAACACAAAGUCAUGGAAUCAGUGAGUACGACUUCAGGGUCACACAGUCAAUCCAUGGAACAAGUAAAGAUUGCUGUAGACCUAAUACAUCAAAACUCAGAAUCAUUGGAAAUGACCUCAAUACCAUCACAUCAGGUCAUUGAUUACAUGAAAGUAACUCCAGUGGCACUCUUACAAACGAUGAGUUUCACGGAGAUUCCACCAGCACAGACACAUGAUAUAGAAUCUGGGGGUUUGAGCCCAGGUUCCCAAUCUCAAAUUGCAAAUUUGACCCCAAGGACAACUCAGUCAGAUGUUUUGACUUCUACUAGCUCUUCUACUGCUAUUGCUCCACUAGGCGUUGUAGAAUCUGUGAGUUUACCUCCAGAGUCAACACCAAAAAUGAUGGAAGCAAGGAAGAGUCUAACACCAUCACAUCAAUCCAUACACUCCCUAAAUGUAAACUCAGUAGCACUGGGUUUACCCAUGGUUAUGAUCACAAAACCACAGUCACAAGUCAUAGAAUCUGAGGGUUUGAUCCCUCAGCCAGUAUCUCAAGGCAAGGAAUCCCUGGAAUUGACUUCUGGGUUAAAGAUUCAAGUGCUAGACGCUGAAGGGGUGGCUCCGUCAUAUCAUCAAGGCACAGAGUCUGCAUCAGGACUGCCUCACCAAGUCACAGAUCCUUCAAGGUUGACUCCAAGGCAUCAAAUCCUGGCAAAUUCUGUGAUGAGCCCAAGGCAAAGUCAUAAAGUGAUAGAAGCUACAGGGUUGACUUCUGACACAUGGCUACCGAUGAAGAAAUCUGUACCGUUGACACAAUCACAUCAUCAAAUAAUGGAACCAUUGGAGACAAUCCCAGCAUCACUAGGUCAGGGUAUAGAAUUUACAGGAAUGCUCCAAAAGCCACUGCAUGAAGUCACACAACCCGCAGUAAUGACUACUCCAUCUGUGCUUCAAGGUGUAAAAUAUAUGGGGGCAAAGCCAAUACCACAACUUAAGCUUACAGAUUCUACAGAAUUAUCCCCUGGAUUGCCAAAUGUAAAAUCUAAAAACCUGAUCCUGGAACCAGCGUUGCAAAGUAUGAACUCUGUAGACACAACCACAGGUUUAGACCCACAAAUGGUAAAUUAUAAACAACCAAUCCCAAGUGUGAAAUCUAUAGACUUGGUCCCCAAGGUUCAAUGGCAGAGUGUAAAAUCUGAGGAGUUAGCUCCCAUACCACAGCUGCAAAGUAGAAAAUCUAUGGAUUUGAUCCCCAGUUCACAGUUUCAAGGCGUACAACGUGUUCAUUUGGCUCUACCCCCAGAGUGUCAAGAUAUAAAAAUGGCACAGGUGACCCUAAGACCACCACUAGAAGAAUCAAAAUCUGUGGAGUUGGCCCCAAAGCCAUGGUUACAAAACACCAGCCUGGAGGAGGUAGCCCCAGUACUAUUGCUUAAAGACAUGAAAACUCCUCAAAUGAUAGAAUGUAGGAGCUCAACUCCUCAGACACAAGUGCAAAGCAUGAAAUUAGGGGAACUGAUCACAGGCACACACCUUCAACCAAUAAAAUGUGUAGAGUUGAACCCUGAUCAAAAUCACCAUGCCACAGAACCUGAAGGACUGACCCCAUGGAAUCAUGACUCAGAAUCUUUAGGGAUGAUCUCAGAGUUAGAAUAUCAAGGAACAGUAGCCAAACUGACCGGUGAUACUUGUCACCAAGUGGAGGAAUCUGUUGGGAUGACACAAUCAUCUUUAGGAAUUACCACAGUUCCAUUGGGCCAAACUACAAAAUCUAUAGAGACGAGCCCAUCGUCACUCCAAGACACUACUGGGACUAUGUUCCCACCUGUAAAAGUGGUAAUGACUCCAGAAUUACAACGCACAAUAGAAGAAUCUCUGAAUUUGAUACCCAGAUCAGAGGUACAAAGUGUGAAAUCAGAUGUAUUGACCCCAGGGCCACAGCUCCAGGGAGUAAAAUCUAGGCAGACUGAUCCAGAAUCACAUUUGCAAGAUGUGAAAUGUGUGAAUUUAAUACCACAGUCAAGGAGAGGAGGGGUAGAAUCUGAGAGGCCAAAACCAGAAGCAAUGGUACAAAGUGUUUUAUUGAAAGAAUUGACUAAAGGAGCAGAACUCCAAAGUGUGACAUCUGUAGAUUUAAAUCUAGACCCAGGGAAAUCAAGUGUCAAAUCUUCUGGAUUGACUCCAGGGCCACAAUUGCAAAGUGUCAGAUUUUCAAAAUUAUCUGUAGGGUCACUUCAAGGAGAAAAACCUGUGGAUUUAAUCUCAGGGCCUCCACAUGAUGGUGUGGUACCUGAUGAAAGGACUCCAAGUUCUCCAAUUCAAGAAAUCAAAUUGUUAGACUUUAUCCCAGGGUCCAAAUAUCCAAGUGUCAAAUCUGCACAGUUGACUCCAGUGGACCUAACCUCAGGACCAUGCUUGCAAGACGUAAAAGUUUCAGAUUUGAUUUUAGAGCCAAAGCAUUCAGGUUUGAAACCAGGAGCUCAGCUUCAAGAUACAAAGUCUGUAAAGUUUGUAACAGAAUCUUCUUUGCAGUUAAACCAAGGACUACAAGUUGAAGACAAGAAAUCUGUGCUCUCUACUGAAGGAUCACAUUUUCACAGCAUCAAACCUAUGAUACUGACCUCAGAACUACAAUUUCAAGACAUGAAAUCUGAAGAAGUAAACCAAGGGCAGAAAGAUACCAACUUUUCUAAGCUAGUUUUAGGCCCAAAGCUUCAAGAUGUCACAUUAGGGGAGCAAACUCAUGAUGUGAAUUCUGUAGUGGUGACUCCGGAGUUAGGACAGCAUGAUUCCAAAUUAGCCAAGAUGUCCUUUGGUUUUCAAGAUAUGAAACAAGUAGGGCUUCACCAAGGGCCGUGGCUACAAGAUGUUAAAAUUUUUAAUUUAAUACCAGGAACUCAGCCUCCAAGUAUGAAGUCUUCAGAGUUAAGCUCAGGGCCACCGCUGCAAUGUAGAAAAAUUUUAGAGCUGACCUCACAGCCAGAGAGGCAAGGGGUUAAACCACAGUUAUUAGUACCAGAAUCACGGUUUCAAGAUGUAAAAUAUGUAACAGCUAACCAAGUACCCAGCUUUGAAGGUGACAUUUCUUAUAAGUUAGUCUCAGAGCCACGGUUACCAAACGUAGAAUCUAUGGAGUCGAAGAUGGGGACACAGUUACCAUGUGCAACCUGUUCUGAGUCGACCAGAGGGCAACAGUCGCAAGGUAUGAAAUAUUCUGAAUUGAUCCAAGAGCCACAGCUGGAAGAUAUAAAACCUGGGGAGCAGAUCCCAGUCUCAUGGUUUCAAGGUUUAAAAUCUGGGAAGCUGAUCUCAGAACCACAGCCAGAAGAUAACACAUCUGUGGAGUUAAUCCUAAGGGCACAUUUGGGAGGUAUGAAAUCUAAGAAGUUAACACCAAAGCGAGAGCCAGGAGAAGUCAAAUCUAUGGUGUUAAGCCCAGGGCCACAGACCAGAGGCAUAAAGGCUGGGGACCUGGCCCCAGGUUCAGAGCUUCAGGGUUUAAAAUCUGAGUUGAUUCCUUUAGGAUCACAGUUGAAUGAUAAGAAAUCUGUGGUCUUAACUCCAGGACCAUGUCCAGAAGGUAUGAAAUCUACGGAGUUAACCUCCAGUCCCCAGCUAAAAGUUUCAAAAUCUGUGGAGGUGACUCCAGGUUCAAGAAUUCAAGAUUUGAAAACUGAAGAGUUAGUCCCGGGUACCAAGGUUCAAGAUAUGAAAGUUAUGGAACUGAAACUUGGGCCAAAGAUGCAAGGUGGGGAUUCUGUGGCUUUUCCAUCAGAUCCAUUGGUUCAGUUUGUUAAAUCCAAGGAAGUUCUUCAAAGGCCUCAACUGCAAAGUAUGAAACCUGAGGAACUGAUUUCAGAGCCACAAAUGCAAGAUAUGAAACUCGUGACUAUUACUCCAUUAAUUAAACUGCAAAACUUAAAAUCUGUGAAGGAUACUCCAGGUUCACAGCUGCACUGUGAAAAAUCUGUGAAGUUGGCCCCAAGGCCGAAGAGGCAGGAGGCAAAAUCUGUGAGUGUUACCAGAAGGCAACAGUUUCAAGGAAUAAAAUCUGUGGAUUUAGACCCAAAGCAACGAUUUCAAGGGGUGACACCAGUGAGUUUAACUCUUGAUCCUGGACAGGAUGGCCAGGUAUUUGUAAACUUACCGGGAUGGAAACAUGUGAAUUUAGAACAACUGACGAAAGGAUUUGAGUCAGACAGUAUAGUGUCUUUGGAGUUAGUUCCAGAGCCCAAAUCAAAAGGUAUGAAAUCUGUACACCUCAAUUCCCAGAUACAGUUGAAAAAUAUGAAACCAUUUGAAUUGGCUCCAGAACCAGAUAUUCAAGAUGUAAGAGCGAAAGCAUUGAAAUAUGAGUCACAGUUGCCAAGUAGAAAACCUCCUAAGUUGACCCCAGGACCACAGCUUCAAGAGAUGAAAACUGUGGAGUUAAUCGGAGAACCACAGACUGGGAGUAUGAAAACUAUUCAGUGGCUAUCACGACCUGAGUUCCAAAGAGUGACCUCCGUAGGGUUAAAUCUUGCAUCAAAAUCUCAAGGUUUUAAACUUGAAGAAUUGAAAUCUUCCACACAAUCAGGAAGAGUGAAGUCAUCUGAACUGACUUUAGGACCUAAACUUCCAGGAACAAAAUCUGCAGAGUUUAAUCCUAAGUCACAGUUACAGUGUGUGAAAACCUCUGAGUGGUUCCCAGGACAAUGGCUACAAAACAGGAAAACUUUGGCAUCAACUUCAGAGCCACAGCUUCAAGGUAUGGAAACUGUGGAAUUAAACAAAGAGCCGCAGGUUGGAAAUAGGAAAUCUCUGCAGUGGAUUCCAGGACCUGAGUUCCAAGGUGUGAAAUCUAUAGCAUUAAAUCUGAAGACGCGAUCUCGACAUAUUAAACCUACAAGGUCGAAAUCUUCCAUACAGCCGGGGAGUAUGAAAUCAUCUAAAUUGACUUUAGGGCCAAAACUUCAAGAUGAAAAAUUUAUGAAAUUUGAUCUUGGGCCACAGGAACAGCGUGGGAAAUCCCCCGAGUUGUUCCCAGGGUCCGAUCGACAAAAAGGGAAACAUUUUGGGUCAACCUCAGAACCACAGCUUCAAGAAAGGAAAUCUGCAGAGAUCUACCAAGGGUCACAGCUUGGAAGUAUGAGGACUAUCGAGUGGAUGCCAGGACCGGAGUUUCAAGUUAUAAAAUCGGUGCUAAGUCUUGGGCCACAAUCUCAAGGUGUCACAGCUCUAGAGUUGAAAGCUUCAAAACAAUUGAGAGAGGUAAAGACAUCUGAAUUGCCUCCAACGUCAAAGCUCCAAUGUAUACAAUCUUUGGCAUCACUCCAGGAAUAUCAGCUUCAUGGGUUCAAACCCAGUGAUUUGAAAUCUGAGCCAGAGUUCAGAAGUAUGAAAUCACAUGACGCGACUUCAAGGCCAAAGCUCUGUGAUGUAAAAUCCAUGGUAUUCAACCCACAGCUUCAUUUGCAAGAUGUGAAAUCUGAGUUGACCCCAGGACUACAGCUACAAGUGAAACCCUUAGAGUCAUCCCCAGGAACACAGCUUCGAUGUACGAAGUCUGUAGUGUUCAUGCAAGAGCCACAGCUUCAAGAAGAGAAAUCCAGGAUAUUAAGCCAACAGCCACAAUUACAAAGUGAUAAAAUUGUAGAGCUCAACUCUCUACUACCCUUGAAAAGUACAAAAUCACCUGAAUUGGCUCUUCAGACAAAGCCUCAAGGUAUGAAAUCUGAGGAGAUCAACUCUGGGCCCCCAUGGCAAAGUACAAAAUGUUCUAAACUGACACCUAAGACAAAGUCCCAAUAUAAAAAAUGUAUUCAGUUAAGCCCCAGCUCACAGUUGAAAGGUACACCAUUUUCUGAUUUGACCAUGGAAAAAAAGAUUCAAGGUGUCAAAUCUACAGACUUCAAACCUCAGCCACAGUCUGAAGGAGUAAAAUCUUCUGAGUCAAUACCUAGGACAAAGCUUCAAGAAACAAAACUGUUGGAAUUCAACUCAGGCCCACAGUUGCAAGAUAUGAAAUCUUCUAGGUUGAUCAUGGGUACAAAGCUUCAAGAUACAAAAUCUAUGGAUUUCAGUUCUGAACCACACUUACAAGGUGAGAAAUCUUCUGAAGUGAUCCUAGGGGAAAAGCUUCAAGGUGUGAAAUAUGUAGAAAUCAAAUCUAGCCCAAAGUUACCAUGUGAUUGCAUCCUGGGGAAGGACUUUCCAGGUAUGAAAUCUGGACAACACUUUAAAAGUAAAAAAGCUUUUGAAGCGGCACCAGGGACAAAACUUCAAGAUUCCAACUUUGGACCACAGAUUCAAAGCCAAAAAUCUUCUGAGUUGGUUCAAGGGACAAAGUUUCAAGAUGUGAAAUCUAUAGAGUUCAACCAUGGUCUAAAGUUACAAGAUACAACAUCGGCUUUAAUACCAAAGACAAAGCUUGAAGGUGGGGAAUCUGCAAAAUUCUACUUGGGCCCCCAGUUGCAAGACGUGAAAUAUUCUAAGCUAAUCCCAGGGACACAGUUUAAACAUAUAAAAUCUAUAGAGUUUCCUUCUAGACCAUAUUUGCAGGGUGCGAAAUCUGUCAUAAUCCCAGAAACAAAGCUUCAAAAAGAAAAAUGUGUGAGAGUUAUGUCUCAGUUACUACAGCAAGAUAUAAAAUCUUUUCAGGUGACUCUAAGUAAGACACAAGAUAGAAAAUCUUUGAGGUCUAACUCUGCUCCACCAUUUCAAAAUAGGAAAUUGUCUAUAUUGAUACCACAAAUAUAUGAUGAAAGUAUGCAAUCUGUGGAAUUCAACCCAAGCAUUGAGUUGCAAGGUGUGAAAUGCGAGUCUAUAAACCAUCCAACAAUGAACUACACAGGGGUCAAUGAUGGCUCCGAAGAAUCCUCUGAGUUGAAACCUACAACAGAGCUUCAAGAUAUAAAAUCUGAGGUGCUCUGCCUUGAACCACAUUUGCAAGGUAUAAACUCUUCUGCACCCAUUCCAGGACCAAAACUUCAGUGUGCAAAUUCUACUGGGUGCAAUCCUGAGCCAUAUUUGUAG
Molecule: long non-coding RNA, 9392 nt
Organism: Fukomys damarensis (Damara mole-rat)
Lineage: Eukaryota; Metazoa; Chordata; Mammalia; Rodentia; Bathyergidae
Source: Ensembl